UACGAAGGGGGCUAGCGUUGCUCGGAAUGACUGGGCGUAAAGGGCGCGUAGGCGGCUUGCACAGUCAGGCGUGAAAUUCCUGGGCUCAACCUGGGGACUGCGCUUGAGACGUGUGGGCUUGAGUGGGGAAGAGGGUCGUGGAAUUCCCAGUGUAGAGGUGAAAUUCGUAGAUAUUGGGAAGAACACCGGUGGCGAAGGCGGCGACCUGGUCCUUGACUGACGCUGAGGCGCGAAAGCGUGGGGAGCAAACGGG
RNAcentral lists this ribosomal RNA (253 nucleotides) under uncultured bacterium. Its description in RNAcentral is "partial 16S ribosomal RNA". It matches the Rfam family "Bacterial small subunit ribosomal RNA", at positions 524 to 776 of the family's 1533-position model. The record is from RNAcentral.